Molecule: ribosomal RNA, 492 nt
Filed under: uncultured bacterium
Lineage: Bacteria
Description: partial 16S ribosomal RNA
Rfam family: Bacterial small subunit ribosomal RNA
Source: RNAcentral
AGUGAACGCUGGCGGUAGGCCUAACACAUGCAAGUCGAACGGCAGCACAGUAAGAGCUUGCUCUUACGGGUGGCGAGUGGCGGACGGGUGAGGAAUACAUCGGAAUCUACUUUUUCGUGGGGGAUAACGUAGGGAAACUUACGCUAAUACCGCAUACGACCUACGGGUGAAAGCAGGGGAUCUUCGGACCUUGCGCGAUUGAAUGAGCCGAUGUCGGAUUAGCUAGUUGGCGGGGUAAAGGCCCACCAAGGCGACGAUCCGUAGCUGGUCUGAGAGGAUGAUCGGCCACACGGGAGGUGGAACGGGGACCAGGCUCCUACGGGACGCAGCAGUGGGGAAUGGGGGACAGUGGGGGCAAGCCUGAUCCAACCGUAGCGCGUGGGAGGAAGAGGCCUUCGGGUUGUAAAGCCGUUUUGUGGGGAAAGAAAAGCAGCAGGUUGAUAACCCGCUUUUCUGACGGUACCCAAAAAAUAAGCACCGGCUAACUUCGUG